This 724-nucleotide ribosomal RNA is filed under the name Cryptosporidium parvum. RNAcentral's name for it is "SSU rRNA". It matches the Rfam family "Eukaryotic small subunit ribosomal RNA", at positions 194 to 965 of the family's 1831-position model. Lineage: Eukaryota; Apicomplexa; Conoidasida; Eucoccidiorida; Cryptosporidiidae. The record is from RNAcentral.
GGAAGGGUUGUAUUUAUUAGAUAAAGAACCAAUAUAAUUGGUGACUCAUAAUAACUUUACGGAUCACAUUAAAUGUGACAUAUCAUUCAAGUUUCUGACCUAUCAGCUUUAGACGGUAGGGUAUUGGCCUACCGUGGCAAUGACGGGUAACGGGGAAUUAGGGUUCGAUUCCGGAGAGGGAGCCUGAGAAACGGCUACCACAUCUAAGGAAGGCAGCAGGCGCGCAAAUUACCCAACCCUAAUACAGGGAGGUAGUGACAAGAAAUAACAAUACAGGACUUUUUGGUUUUGUAAUUGGAAUGAGUUAAGUAUAAACCCCUUUACAAGUAUCAAUUGGAGGGCAAGUCUGGUUCCAGCAGCCGCGGUAAUUCCAGCUCCAAUAGCGUAUAUUAAAGUUGUUGCAGUUAAAAAGCUCGUAGUUGGAUUUCUGUUAAUAAUUUAUAUAAAAUAUUUUGUUGAAUAUUUAUAUAAUAUUAACAUAAUUCAUAUUACUAUAUAUUUUAGUAUAUGAAAUUUUACUUUGAGAAAAUUAGAGUGCUUAAAGCAGGCAUAUGCCUUGAAUACUCCAGCAUGGAAUAAUAUUAAAGAUUUUUAUCUUUCUUAUUGGUUCUAAGAUAAGAAUAAUGAUUAAUAGGGACAGUUGGGGGCAUUUGUAUUUAACAGUCAGAGGUGAAAUUCUUAGAUUUGUUAAAGACAAACUAAUGCGAAAGCAUUUGCCAAGGAU